UGAAGAAGCUUGCUUCUUCUGAAGUUUUAGCGGCGGACGGGUGAGUAACACGUGGGCAACCUACCUUGUAGAUUGGGAUAACUCCGGGAAACCGGGGCUAAUACCGAAUAAUCCAUUUUGCUUCAUGGCGAGAUGUUGAAAGACGGUUUCGGCUGUCACUAUAAGAUGGGCCCGCGGCGCAUUAGCUAGGUUGGUAGGGUAAUGGCCUACCAAGGCGACGAUGCGUAGCCGACCUGAGAGGGUGAUCGGCCACACUGGGACUGAGACACGGCCCAGACUCCCACGGGAGGCAGCAGUAGGGAAUCUUCCACAAUGGACGAAAGUCUGAUGGAGCAACGCCGCGUGAGUGAAGAAGGUUUUCGGAUCGUAAAACUCUGUUGUAAGGGAAGAACACGUACGAGAGUAACUGCUCGUACCUUGACGGUACCUUAUUAGAAAGCCACGGCUAACUACGUG
RNAcentral lists this ribosomal RNA (456 nucleotides) under uncultured bacterium. Its description in RNAcentral is "bacterial SSU rRNA". It matches the Rfam family "Bacterial small subunit ribosomal RNA", at positions 71 to 507 of the family's 1533-position model. The record is from RNAcentral.